GGCUCUCCCAGCUCUGACGGCCGCUGGAAGUCCUGUUUCAUUUGAUAUGGACCCUCAAGCAGAACAGAAGGGGACUGUCACUUAAGUUCUUGGAAAUUCAACAAGGAGAUCAGUGUCCUACUGAGAAGGAUGAAUCAGAGAUAUGCUAUCAGCCGAAUCGAAUAAGAGAGUUCAGCUCAGUGGCCACCUCCUGUAUGCAGGUUUUCUCCAUUUCUCCUGACCUCCAUGGAGACAUGACAGUCGGCCUGGGCCCUGG
This is a long non-coding RNA of Lutra lutra (Eurasian river otter), 256 nucleotides long. RefSeq lists it as uncharacterized. NCBI's taxonomy places the organism in Eukaryota, Metazoa, Chordata, Mammalia, Carnivora, Mustelidae. The record is from RefSeq and is a predicted model, not a curated record. The transcript has 3 exons.